GCUUGCACUUCGCUGACGAGUGGCGGACGGGUGAGUAAUGCUUGGGAACUUGCCUUUGCGAGGGGGAUAACAGUUGGAAACGACUGCUAAUACCGCAUAAUGUCUACGGACCAAACGGGGCUUAGGCUCCGGCGCAAAGAGAGGCCCAAGUGAGAUUAGCUAGUUGGUAAGGUAAAGGCUUACCAAGGCAACGAUCUCUAGCUGUUCUGAGAGGAAGAUCAGCCACACUGGGACUGAGACACGGCCCAGACUCCUACGGGAGGCAGCAGUGGGGAAUAUUGCACAAUGGGGGAAACCCUGAUGCAGCCAUGCCGCGUGUGUGAAGAAGGCCUUCGGGUUGUAAAGCACUUUCAGUUGUGAGGAAAAGUUAGUAGUUAAUACCUGCUAGCCGUGACGUUAACAACAGAAGAAGCACCGGCUAACUCCGUGCCAGCAGCCGCGGUAAUACGGAGGGUGCGAGCGUUAAUCGGAAUUACUGGGCGUAAAGCGCACGCAGGCGGUUUGUUAAGCUAGAUGUGAAAGCCCCGGGCUCAACCUGGGAUGGUCAUUUAGAACUGGCAGACUAGAGUCUUGGAGAGGGGAGUGGAAUUCCAGGUG
Molecule: ribosomal RNA, 597 nt
Filed under: Alteromonas mediterranea
Lineage: Bacteria; Pseudomonadati; Pseudomonadota; Gammaproteobacteria; Alteromonadales; Alteromonadaceae
Description: bacterial SSU rRNA
Rfam family: Bacterial small subunit ribosomal RNA
Source: RNAcentral